This 88-nucleotide small nuclear RNA is filed under the name Stegodyphus mimosarum. Lineage: Eukaryota; Metazoa; Arthropoda; Arachnida; Araneae; Eresidae. The record is from RNAcentral.
GUACUUGCUUUGGCAGUACAUAUACUAAAAUUGGAACGAUACAGAGAAGAUUAGCAUUAGGAUGACACGCAAGGCUUGCCAUACCAGU